UACGGAAGGCAGCAGUGGGGAAUAUUGCACAAUGGGCGAAAGCCUGAUGCAGCUAUGCCGCGUGUAUGAAGAAGGCCUUAGGGUUGUAAAGUACUUUCAUCGGGGAGGAAAAACAAAACUAAUAAUUUUAUUUCUUGACGUUACCCGAAAAAGAAGCACCGGCUAACUCCGUGCCAGCAGCCGCGGUAAUACGGAGGGUGCUAGCGUUAAUCAGAAUUACUGGGCGUAAAGAGCACGUAGGUGGUUUUUUUAAGUCAGAUGUGAAAUCCCUGGGCUUAACCUAGGAACUGCAUUUUGAAACUGAAAUACUAGAGUAUCGUAGAGGGAGGUAGAAUUCUAGGUGUAGCGGUGAAAUGCGUAGAUAUCUGGAGGAAUACCUGUGGCGAAAGCGGCCUCCUAAACGAAUACUGACACUGAGGUGCGAAAGCGUGGGGAGCAAACAGGGGAUUAGGAUACC
Molecule: ribosomal RNA, 457 nt
Filed under: uncultured bacterium
Lineage: Bacteria
Description: bacterial SSU rRNA
Rfam family: Bacterial small subunit ribosomal RNA
Source: RNAcentral